Molecule: long non-coding RNA, 1794 nt
Organism: Pristis pectinata (smalltooth sawfish)
Lineage: Eukaryota; Metazoa; Chordata; Chondrichthyes; Rhinopristiformes; Pristidae
Exons: 4
Source: RefSeq, a predicted model, not a curated record
GAGAAUGAAAGAACAAGAGUUUUGGUUUUAGAAAAAGUGAGAAAGGUAGGCUAGUUGAGCGAGGAAAAGAGAUGGUAAAUGAGAUGAGAUUUGAGUAAAAUACUGAGGCAAACGGAAUAGAAAAGCGGAGUAUUUGUCAAACAUUGCGAAACUAUUGAAUGUCGAUGUUGGGAGAAAACCAGAUUUUUUUUUGUACAAGAAACUAUGAAGGCAGAAUACUACCUGACCUGCUGAGCAUUUUCAGCAUUUUCUGUUUUAUUUAUGGCUGUGAGGAACCUAGCCUUGGGUGAGCUGCAGAAGUUUGUGCUCCAUCAUUGGACUCCAUGUUCAAAUGCAAUCAGGAACUUCCUGACAAUCAGAUAUAUGAAUGUUCAGGACUUCCAUGUUUUCCAGGAGCUACAGAGUUUCAGCUCCACACCUGGAAUGGCAUCUCCAUUUCCUCUUCCACUCUGUUUGAGCAAAGUACAAUGGAAACUGGAAGACAUCACCUCAUCUUUUGAAUGGGAACUUCACAGCAUUCUGGAUUCAAUGGCAGCUUUAAUGUUUUCUCAUCACAAUCAUGGCUCCAGUUUCCACUGAUCAUGGUAAUGAUUUAGGUUAUUGAUGGAUUUAUUCUUUGUGUUUCCCACUACACCCCCUUUGGCCAUCCAUCGUCAUCUCUUUUGUCAUGUAAUCUUUCUUGGUCUCCAUGUUUUUACGUAGCUUCCUUUUUGUUCUACUCUUUCCUCAUUUUUUUCUGCCUUUCUGUUUGAUUAAAACCUCUUAAAUCUAUAAUGGUUCCAGGUUUGCUAAAAUAUCUUAUUAAUCUAUAAUGUUAAUUCUGUUUCUCUCACAGAUGUAGCCUCAUCUGCUGAGAUUUUUUCUUAUUUUAAAAUUUUAUUUCAGAUUGCUAACAUUGACACUAUUUUGUUUUUUUAGGAAAUUAAUGUUUACCUUUUUACUGAGUCUUCAGCAAUACAGCUCUGAAACUGCCUACUAAAUGCAUGAAGGUGUAAUGAUAUUUUUUAAUCCAAUGCUUCCAUUCUUGUAUAGUUUUGUCAAGCUUGUGAUGUGAUGGGCAAUGCACCAUAACAAAAUAUGUGAGGUUUGGAAUCAGGAAUUAUGGAUACAAACCCUUGUCUCAUCAUUAGGAUUGGAUUUGGUUUAUGACACCAGAAUUAAAAAUGUUGCAUUGCCCAGUUUCUGUAUUAUAAUAAGCUGCCAGUGACAUGUAUUUCUUUACCCUGCAACUUAAAAUAUUUUAAUUUGUGAAUAUGCUAUUCUCUAAUACACUCUGACUCUUUCUUGACAUGAAUCCACAUGGUAAUGUGUCUAGCUGAAGACUGUGAUAUAAUGAUGUUCUACUAAUUUGAAUAUGAUCCUUUGAAGUAUAUUUAAUUGAGAUCCAACAAGCCUUCCACUGAUCAGUGCUGAUGACACAGAAACUCUUAAUUUGGCCCAAUGCAUUUAUCAUAAAAUUAUCCUGACUUAUGCUCUACUGGUACUUUUCUUAAUCUGCUGAAAGCAAUAUUGAGCUAUUUUUGGUUUAUAUGCAGGCUUUCAUCCAGCUGUGAAAUUGUACUGCUGAAACAAAAAUGAUUGUAAGAGAAGUAUCUAUUAAUAAAACCCAAAAUCAGUCGAAUUAUAGUUUAUUUCACUGACAUUGAGAAAAAAAUGCAGGAAUAGAAUGAAAAGGGAUUUCAAGCAUCAUACAGUAAUGGAAAAUGUCCCUGAUAGAUUCCAAUCUAAUGGAUUAUUAUAUUAUUGAUAGCUAUCAUGAAAAUGCAUGGGUAAUUGUUGCUUGAUUCAGUUGGU